This 268-nucleotide long non-coding RNA is filed under the name Macaca mulatta (Rhesus monkey). RNAcentral's name for it is "lncRNA (ENSMMUG00000063591.1)". The record is from RNAcentral. Lineage: Eukaryota; Metazoa; Chordata; Mammalia; Primates; Cercopithecidae.
UUAGGCCCUCUGUCGGCAAGUUUUUGUUCAGAUGGCAACCAUAAAAAUAGAACACCAAAGUCUAAAUAAUAGGAUUCCACAUAGUUCUUGGCACAAGACUAUUUAUUACCCUUUGAUGAUGUGAACAGACGUCUUUCUGCGCUUAUGAUUGGAAUCUUAGAAGCACGGUCAGUGUAAGAACAGUUGGUGACUUUAUAACACAUAGUUGGCAGGGCAUUUCUGGUUUAACCUAAAUGGCUCACAUGGAAGCAACACUGUUGUACUUAAU